Molecule: transfer RNA, 89 nt
Filed under: Armatimonadota bacterium
Lineage: Bacteria; Bacillati; Armatimonadota
Description: Armatimonadetes bacterium (oil production facility metagenome) tRNA-Leu
Rfam family: tRNA
About the family: Transfer RNA (tRNA) molecules are approximately 80 nucleotides in length. Their secondary structure includes four short double-helical elements and three loops (D, anti-codon, and T loops).
Source: RNAcentral
GCCGGGGUGGUGGAAUUGGUAGACGCGCCGGACUCAAAAUCCGGUGGAGCCUCGGCUCCGUGCGGGUUCGACUCCCGCCCCCGGCACCA